This 65-nucleotide microRNA precursor is filed under the name Pristionchus pacificus. Its description in RNAcentral is "microRNA ppc-mir-8269 precursor". Lineage: Eukaryota; Metazoa; Nematoda; Chromadorea; Rhabditida; Neodiplogasteridae. The record is from miRBase by way of RNAcentral.
GUGAGCAAGCAGGCGAAACAUGAAUGAAGCGUUGCUUUGCUCUUGAUUCAUCUGCGCGCUCAGGA